Molecule: non-coding RNA, 610 nt
Organism: Megalobrama amblycephala (Wuchang bream)
Lineage: Eukaryota; Metazoa; Chordata; Actinopteri; Cypriniformes; Xenocyprididae
Source: the annotation of a RefSeq genome assembly
UUCAGUGCUCUGCAUGUGUUUAUAACUCUGUCAAACAUCAAACAUGAUCAACAACUGUUUUUCACUAGAACUGAACCUACAACCAACAAAAAUGACUUUCAGCACCAUAUUGAUCUGGACGCUGGCAGUAUUAUGUCGAGAAUCUGUUGGUCAGGUGACAGUGACUCAAACUCCCUCAGAGCUGCUCUCUCAAACUGGACAAUCAGUCACUGUGACCUGUAAAACUAGCAGUGAUCCAGACUCCAGGUGUAGUGGACAGUGUCUUGCCUGGUACUUACAGAAACCUGGAGAAGCUCCUAAACUCUUGAUUUAUGGAACAAGCACCCUCCAGUCAGGAACUCCAUCUAGAUUCAGUGGCAGUGGAUCUAACAGUGAUUUCACUCUGACCAUCAGUGGAGUCCAGACUGAAGAUGCUGGACAUUAUUACUGUCAGAGUUUCCACUAUCCAAACAGUCAAUAUGUGUUCACACAGUGAUAAAGAGUCGUACAAAAACCUCCGUCAGUCAGAGUCACAGUGACUGAACUGAUACUGCAGCUGCUCACACACUUUCACACACUUUCACACACACUCAACAGCAGAAACACAAAUAUGAUCUUAAUAUCAGCUUUG